UCGACACGGAGAAGAGUGGGUGCCAGCAGCCGCGGUAAUACGGAGGAUGCGAGCGUUAUCCGGAUUUAUUGGGUUUAAAGGGUGCGUAGGCGGUUUAUUAAGUUAGUGGUUAAAUAUUUGAGCUAAACUCAAUUGUGCCAUUAAUACUGGUAAACUGGAGUACAGACGAGGUAGGCGGAAUAAGUUAAGUAGCGGUGAAAUGCAUAGAUAUAACUUAGAACUCCGAUAGCGAAGGCAGCUUACCAGACUGUAACUGACGCUGAUGCACGAGAGCGUGGGUAGCGAACAGGAUUAGAUACCCCGGUAGUCCAGAAGUGUUAGUAACCGCG
Molecule: ribosomal RNA, 329 nt
Filed under: Natronogracilivirga saccharolytica
Lineage: Bacteria; Pseudomonadati; Balneolota; Balneolia; Balneolales; Cyclonatronaceae
Description: Bacterial small subunit ribosomal RNA
Rfam family: Bacterial small subunit ribosomal RNA
Source: Rfam by way of RNAcentral